AUGAACGCUAGCGAUAGGCCUAACACAUGCAAGUCGAGGGGCAUCACAAAGAGUAGCAAUACUUUUGGUGGCGACCGGCGGAUGGGUGAGUAACACGUAUGCAACCUACCUUCUACAUUGGGAUAACCCGUUGAAAGACGGACUAAUACCGAAUAAGUACAGGGGCGCCACAUGGUGAUAUUUGUUAAAGUUUCGAGCAAUCGAUUCGGUAGAAGAUGGGCAUGCGUAUGAUUAGCUAGUUGGUGAGGUAACGGCUCACCAAGGCAACGAUCAUUAGGGGUUCUGAGAGGAAGGUCCCCCACACUGGUACUGAGACACGGACCAGACUCCUACGGGAGGCAGCAGUGAGGAAUAUUGGUCAAUGGGCGCGAGCCUGAACCAGCCAAGUCGCGUGAAGGAAGACUGUCCUAUGGAUUGUAAACUUCUUUUGUACAGGAAUAAAGUGUUCUACGUGUAGGAUUUUGCAUGUACUGUACGAAUAAGGAUCGGCUAACUCCGUG
This 500-nucleotide ribosomal RNA is filed under the name uncultured bacterium. RNAcentral describes it as "bacterial SSU rRNA". It matches the Rfam family "Bacterial small subunit ribosomal RNA", at positions 29 to 507 of the family's 1533-position model. The record is from RNAcentral.